AUGGGGGCAACCCUGAUCCAGCCAUGCCGCGUGUGUGAAGAAGGCCUUUUGGUUGUAAAGCACUUUAAGCAGUGAAGAAGACUCCGUGGUUAAUACCCACGGACGAUGACAUUAGCUGCAGAAUAAGCACCGGCUAACUCUGUGCCAGCAGCCGCGGUAAUACAGAGGGUGCAAGCGUUAAUCGGAAUUACUGGGCGUAAAGCGAGCGUAGGUGGCUUGAUAAGUCAGAUGUGAAAUCCCCGGGCUUAACCUGGGAACUGCAUCUGAUACUGUUAGGCUAGAAUAGGUGAGAGGAAGGUAGAAUUCCAGGUGUAGCGGUGAAAUGCGUAGAGAUCUGGAGGAAUACCGAUGGCGAAGGCAGCCUUCUGGCAUCAUAUUGACACUGAGGUUCGAAAGCGUGGGUAGCAAACAGGAUUAGAUACCCUGGUAGUCCACGCCGUAAACGAUGUCUACUAGUCGUUGGGUCCCUUGAGGACUUAGUGACGCAGCUAACGCAAUAAGUAGACCGCCUGGGGAGUAC
This 520-nucleotide ribosomal RNA is filed under the name Psychrobacter sp. UST001116-0030. RNAcentral describes it as "bacterial SSU rRNA". It matches the Rfam family "Bacterial small subunit ribosomal RNA", at positions 371 to 883 of the family's 1533-position model. Lineage: Bacteria; Pseudomonadati; Pseudomonadota; Gammaproteobacteria; Moraxellales; Moraxellaceae. The record is from RNAcentral.